This 196-nucleotide ribosomal RNA is filed under the name uncultured Trichococcus sp. RNAcentral describes it as "partial 16S ribosomal RNA". It matches the Rfam family "Bacterial small subunit ribosomal RNA", at positions 337 to 525 of the family's 1533-position model. Lineage: Bacteria; Bacillati; Bacillota; Bacilli; Lactobacillales; Carnobacteriaceae. The record is from RNAcentral.
UCCUACGGGAGGCAGCAGUAGGGAAUCUUCCGCAAUGGACGAAAGUCUGACGGAGCAACGCUGCGUGAGUGAAGAAGGUUUUCGGAUCGUAAAACUCUGUUGUCAGAGAAGAACAAGUCGGAGAGUAACUGCUCCGGCCUUGACGGUAUCUGACCAGAAAGCCACGGCUAACUACGUGCCAGCAGCCGCGGUAAUA